CGGGGCAGCUCAGUACAGGAUA
Molecule: microRNA, 22 nt
Filed under: Macaca mulatta (Rhesus monkey)
Lineage: Eukaryota; Metazoa; Chordata; Mammalia; Primates; Cercopithecidae
Also listed under: 1 other name
Description: Mml-Mir-486_3p* (star (passenger))
Source: RNAcentral